This 799-nucleotide ribosomal RNA is filed under the name uncultured Glomus. RNAcentral describes it as "SSU rRNA". It matches the Rfam family "Eukaryotic small subunit ribosomal RNA", at positions 314 to 1114 of the family's 1831-position model. Lineage: Eukaryota; Fungi; Glomeromycota; Glomeromycetes; Glomerales; Glomeraceae. The record is from RNAcentral.
AUCAACUUUCGAUGGUAGGAUAGAGGCCUACCAUGGUGGUAACGGGUAACGGGGUGUUAGGGCACGACACCGGAGAGGGAGCCUGAGAAACGGCUACCACAUCCAAGGAUGGCAGCAGGCGCGCAAAUUACCCAAUCCCGACACGGGGAGGUAGUGACAAUAAAUAACAAUACGGGGUUCUUUCGGAUCUCGUAAUUGGAAUGAGUACAAUUUAAAUCUCUUAACGAGGAACAAUUGGAGGGCAAGUCUGGUGCCAGCAGCCGCGGUAAUUCCAGCUCCAAUAGCGUAUAUUAAAGUUGUUGCAGUUAAAAAGCUCGUAGUUGAAUUUCGGGGUUAGUAGGUUGGUCAUGCCUCUGGUAUGUACUGGUCUCACUGAUUCCUCCUUCCUGAUGAACCGUAAUGCCAUUAAUUUGGUGUUGCGGGGAAUUUGGACUGUUACUUUGAAAAAAUUAGAGUGUUUAAAGCAAGCUAACGCUUGAAUACAUUAGCAUGGAAUAAUGAAAUAGGACGUUCGAUCCUAUUUUGUUGGUUUCUAGGAUUGACGUAAUGAUUAAUAGGGAUAGUUGGGGGCAUUAGUACUCAAUUGUCAGAGGUGAAAUUCUUGGAUUUAUUGAAGACUAACUACUGCGAAAGCAUUUGCCAAGGAUGUUUUCAUUAAUCAAGAACGAAAGUUAGGGGAUCGAAGACGAUCAGAUACCGUCGUAGUCUUAACCAUAAACUAUGCCGACUAGGGAUCGGAUGAUGUUAAUUUUUUAAUGACUCAUUCGGCGCCUUACGGGAAACCAAAGUGUUUGGGUUC